RNAcentral lists this ribosomal RNA (499 nucleotides) under uncultured bacterium. RNAcentral's name for it is "partial 16S ribosomal RNA". It matches the Rfam family "Bacterial small subunit ribosomal RNA", at positions 899 to 1397 of the family's 1533-position model. The record is from RNAcentral.
ACUCAAAUGAAUUGACGGGGGCCCGCACAAGCGGUGGAGCAUGUGGUUUAAUUCGAUGCAACGCGAAGAACCUUACCUACCCUUGACAUCCUCGGAAUCUGGCAGAGAUGCCGGAGUGCCUUCGGGAACCGAGAGACAGGUGCUGCAUGGCUGUCGUCAGCUCGUGUUGUGAGAUGUUGGGUUAAGUCCCGUAACGAGCGCAACCCCUGUCCCUAGUUGCCAGCGAUUAAAGUCGGGAACUCUAGGGAGACUGCCGGUGACAAACCGGAGGAAGGUGGGGAUGACGUCAAGUCAUCAUGGCCUUUAUGGGUAGGGCUACACACGUGCUACAAUGGACAGUACAAAGGGUUGCCAACCAGCGAUGGGGAGCUAAUCUCAAAAAACUGUUCGUAGUCCGGAUUGGAGUCUGCAACUCGACUCCAUGAAGUUGGAAUCGCUAGUAAUCGCGGAUCAGAACGCCGCGGUGAAUACGUUCCCGGGCCUUGUACACACCGCCCGU